CCAUGCAGACGCACUAUCUCUUUGAAAAAUAAUUCUGCAACAUGUGAAGCAUCAUCGGUUCUGUGGCAUGGCACGAAAUGAGAUAUUUUUGAGAAUCAAUCUACAACCACCAAAACUGAAUCCUUCAUUUGCAGUGGAAGGGAGACUUCUUCAUCUGGAGCCUGCUUGGCUACAAGAACAAAAAUAGUUUCAUGGUUAGUCAAAACUCGCUUCACUUCCCCCUUGUUGGCAAACAUAUUC
This 240-nucleotide long non-coding RNA is filed under the name Elaeis guineensis (African oil palm). RNAcentral describes it as "long non-coding RNA (EGUI_LNC074283)". Lineage: Eukaryota; Viridiplantae; Streptophyta; Magnoliopsida; Arecales; Arecaceae. The record is from RNAcentral.